CAGCAGCCACGGUAAUACGUAGGUGGCAAGCGUUGUCCGGAAUUAUUGGGCGUAAAGGGCUCGCAGGCGGUUUCUUAAGUCUGAUGUGAAAGCCCCCGGCUCAACCGGGGAGGGUCAUUGGAAACUGGGGAACUUGAGUGCAGAAGAGGAGAGUGGAAUUCCACGUGUAGCGGUGAAAUGCGUAGAGAUGUGGAGGAACACCAGUGGCGAAGGCGACUCUCUGGUCUGUAACUGACGCUGAGGAGCGAAAGCGUGGGGAGCGAACAGGAUUAGAUACCCCAGUAGUCCCUGUCUCUUAUAC
Molecule: ribosomal RNA, 301 nt
Filed under: uncultured bacterium
Lineage: Bacteria
Description: partial 16S ribosomal RNA
Rfam family: Bacterial small subunit ribosomal RNA
Source: RNAcentral